RNAcentral lists this ribosomal RNA (468 nucleotides) under uncultured bacterium. RNAcentral's name for it is "partial 16S ribosomal RNA". It matches the Rfam family "Bacterial small subunit ribosomal RNA", at positions 28 to 507 of the family's 1533-position model. The record is from RNAcentral.
GACGAACGCUGGCGGCGUGCUUAACACAUGCAAGUCGAACGGAAAGGCCCUGCUUUUGUGGGGUGCUCGAGUGGCGAACGGGUGAGUAACACGUGAGUAACCUGCCCUUGACUUUGGGAUAACUUCAGGAAAAUGGGGAUAAUACCGGAUAGGAGCUCCUGCUGCAUGGUGGGGGUUGGAGAGUUUCGGCGGUUGGGGUUGGACUCGAGGCUUCUCGGCUUGUUGGUGGGGUAGUGGCUUAACAAGGCUUUGAAGGGUAGGCGGCCUGGGAGGGUGACCGGGCACAUUGGGACUGAGAUACGGACCAGUCUCCUACGGUAGGCAGCAGUGGGGAAUAUGGCACAAUGGGCGGAAGCCAGAUGCGGCAACGCCGCGUGCGGGAUAACGGCCUUCGGGUUAUAAACCGCUGUCGCCUGUGACGAAGCGUGAGUGACGGUAAUGGGUAAAGAAGCACCGGCUAACUACGUG